CAGCCGCCGCGGGAAUACGGAGGGUGCAAGCGUUAAUCGGAAUUACUGGGCGUAAAGCGCACGCAGGCGGUCUGACAAGUCAGAUGUGAAAUCCCCGGGCUUAACCUGGGAACUGCAUUUGAAACUGUCAGGCUGGAGUCUUGUAGAGGGGGGUAGAAUUCCAGGUGUAGCGGUGAAAUGCGUAGAGAUCUGGAGGAAUACCGGUGGCGAAGGCGGCCCCCUGGACAAAGACUGACGCUCAGGUGCGAAAGCGUGGGGAGCAAACAGGAUUAGAUACCCCAGUAGUCCCUGUCUCUUAUAC
This 301-nucleotide ribosomal RNA is filed under the name uncultured bacterium. Its description in RNAcentral is "partial 16S ribosomal RNA". It matches the Rfam family "Bacterial small subunit ribosomal RNA", at positions 509 to 807 of the family's 1533-position model. The record is from RNAcentral.